Molecule: regulatory RNA element, 213 nt
Organism: Bacillus subtilis subsp. subtilis str. 168
Lineage: Bacteria; Bacillati; Bacillota; Bacilli; Caryophanales; Bacillaceae
Rfam family: T-box leader
About the family: Uncharged tRNA acts as the effector for transcription antitermination of genes in the T-box leader family.
Source: Rfam
ACAUAAGCUUUGACGGGAAUCCAGUAGCGGUUUGUCUCCCUGUUUCAGAGAGCCGGCGGUAGGUGCGAGCCGGCGCACAGGCAAACGUGAAUUACCUCCCCAAGCUUUCUUUGUGAACCUUAGUAGCAAAGAACGGGAAACCGUUAUUCGAAUGAGCGGAAGACAAUGUCUUCAACCAGGGUGGUACCGCGUGCAUUGAGCCACGUCCCUUAU